CAGUAGGUAGCUCAGUUUGCGGAGCGGAGGACUGUAGAACCGCAACAAUCCUUAGGUCUCCGGUUCGAAUCCGGCUCGACGGA
Molecule: transfer RNA, 83 nt
Filed under: Angiostrongylus costaricensis
Lineage: Eukaryota; Metazoa; Nematoda; Chromadorea; Rhabditida; Metastrongylidae
Rfam family: tRNA
About the family: Transfer RNA (tRNA) molecules are approximately 80 nucleotides in length. Their secondary structure includes four short double-helical elements and three loops (D, anti-codon, and T loops). Further hydrogen bonds mediate the characteristic L-shaped molecular structure. tRNAs have two regions of fundamental functional importance: the anti-codon, which is responsible for specific mRNA codon recognition, and the 3' end, to which the tRNAs corresponding amino acid is attached (by aminoacyl-tRNA synthetases). tRNAs cope with the degeneracy of the genetic code in two manners: having more than one tRNA (with a specific anti-codon) for a particular amino acid; and 'wobble' base-pairing, i.e. permitting non-standard base-pairing at the 3rd anti-codon position.
Source: Rfam by way of RNAcentral